This is a long non-coding RNA of Pipra filicauda (Wire-tailed manakin), 1944 nucleotides long. RefSeq lists it as uncharacterized. NCBI's taxonomy places the organism in Eukaryota, Metazoa, Chordata, Aves, Passeriformes, Pipridae. The transcript has 4 exons. The record is from RefSeq and is a predicted model, not a curated record.
CUGUUUGUUUUCCAGCGCUGUGGGCUCCCUGAGCAUUCCCAAAGCAGUGCCGCAGCUGUCUGUGCCCCCUGUGCAUUCCCAAAGCAGUGCCACAGCUGCCUCUCCCUGUGCUCCCUGUGUAUUCCCGAAGCAGCGUCCCAGCUGCCUGUGCUCCCUGUGUAUUCCCAAAGCAGCAUCCCAGCUGCCUGUGCUCCCUGUGUAUUCCCGAAGCAGUGUCCCAGCUGUCUCUGCCUGUUGCACAGAGGGCACAGCUGGGAGUCAUUGCCACGGGCCGGAUCCAGCUCGAGCUCCUGGAAAACGAUUCAAACGUGUAGGGAACGUGUUCGCGCAGCCCAACGAGCCGGUGAACGCUGGUAAUUGUGAAGACCACUCGCAUUCCCGUUACCAUCACACUCUUUAAACAUCUUUAACAACUACACGCCAUGGAAAUCAGCGUUCGUGGCAUGUAAAGAAAGCCGAUGAUGUACUUAACACCAAUCUUGGCACGCGAUGAGAACCAUUCCCGAGGGCCCGCUGGCAGGACAACUGGCACCGUGGGAACUGCUGUCCGAGCACAACCCGCCUCACCCGGGACAGCGGGGCCGGUUCCCCAGGGCGCUCCCCGCUCUGAGGCUCUGCACAAUCACGUUUCCAUCAAGCUUUUCCUGCUCCUGUGCAACGCCGGGGCGAGAGGAAGCGCCCGAUUCCGGCGGGGCCCCGCCGCCGCCGCCCGCCGCGGAGCCCCGCACGUACCUCCACGGCCUGGCCCAGCUCCAGGUCGAAGCCCACCACACACACGCAGUGCAGCCAGGCCGAGAAGCGGUCCCAGGGCAGCAGCGACAGGCACUGCUCGGGACCCUCCGGCUCCGCCAGCGCCGCAUCCUCCGCGGCCGCCCCGGCGCCGCCCGAAGCCGGGUCGGUGUCCGGGCCCCGCUCCCGCCGCGACAUGGCCCCGACCCCGGCCCCGCCGCGCGGAGCCACGUGACCGCCCCGCCCCGCCCCCCCGGAGCCGCCCGGAGUGGGCGGGGCCAAGCGGGCACCGAGGGGCGGCUGAACCAUUCCUGCGGGGAGCGGGGGGGGGCGGUAGGGGCGGAGCGCCCCCCAGCGGCCCGCGGGGAGGGCGGCGGUGCGGCCGCGGCUCGGCCCGGCCCGGCAGCUCCGAACGGGCACCGGGAGGGCCGUGCAGCUUCAGGGGCGCUUGAGACACAGCAACCCCGCCCCCGAGAGCCCAUAUUACAAUAUGGUUUUGCUUAAUAAAGCAGCUACUUCAUUGCUACUUUAUGCUGUGGGAGCAGCUCUGCAGGCAGGGGCACGAUCCCAGUUUUCUGUUCCUCCGCGGCAGUCAGUUACAGUCAGCUUAGAAUUCACCACAGGCUUCCUGCAGCAAAACAUCUCAUUUUUCAUCAAGUCAUUAAGAUUCAACACUCUCAAGCCAAAAUCCAGAUGUUUUUCAGAAAAAGGACAGACACCUCCGUGGGAUCCUGCUGCCCUUACCCAACAUGGCUGCGAGGUGCUCUGCCUGCUUCGGUUGUGACAGUGGUUUGCAGAAACAAAGCAGGAGCUGACACAUCCUCCUCCUCCUCCUCCCCCGAGCACAGCACAGCAGAGCACUUCACACCAAACUCUUCGUCCACCUGUUGCUUCCCACAGUUCUAAGAGGGACACUUUCUGGGAAUGACGGAAUUAAAAAUGAAUUCGGACCAGAGAGGCCCGUUCAGCACCAACGACCUUGACAAAGUCAUCUUUCCUUGGCUUCUAGAAAACGGGGAUAAAUAUGAUUAUAGAUGAUGCUCCGUGACUUACUGAGGGAAGACACUGCACCAGUGACCCCACCCCAGUCCUGUCCCUGUUCCUGCAGCCACCGCUCCAAAGCUCCCCCUGGUCCAGCCACCAACCUGCAACUAGAGAAGGCAAACACGGCCAGCGUUCCUCCCGCCCCGGGGCACGGCAAACCACACUGCGGCU